GGAGGGCAAGUCUGGUGCCAGCAGCCGCGGUAAUUCCAGCUCCAAUAGCGUAUAUUAAAGUUGUUGUGGUUAAAAAGCUCGUAGUUGAACCUUGGGCCUGGCUGGCCGGUCCGCCUCGCCGCGUGUACUGGUCCGGCCGGGCCUUUCCCUCUGUGGAACCCCAUGCCCUUCACUGGGUGUGGCGGGGAAACAGGACUUUUACUGUGAAAAAAUUAGAGUGCUCCAGGCAGGCCUAUGCUCGAAUACAUUAGCAUGGAAUAAUAGAAUAGGACGUGUGGUUCUAUUUUGUUGGUUUCUAGGACCGCCGUAAUGAUUAAUAGGGACAGUCGGGGGCAUCAGUAUUCAAUUGUCAGAGGUGAAAUUCUUGGAUUUAUUGAAGACUAACUACUGCGAAAGCAUUUGCCAAGGAUGUUUUCAUUAAUCAGGAACGAAAGUUAGGGGAUCGAAGACGAUCAGAUACCGUCGUAGUCUUAACCAUAAACUAUGCCGACUAGGGAUCGGACGGUGUUAUUUCUUGACCCGUUCGGCACCUUACGGGAAAC
This 542-nucleotide ribosomal RNA is filed under the name uncultured Ascomycota. RNAcentral describes it as "SSU rRNA". It matches the Rfam family "Eukaryotic small subunit ribosomal RNA", at positions 550 to 1098 of the family's 1831-position model. Lineage: Eukaryota; Fungi; Ascomycota. The record is from RNAcentral.